RNAcentral lists this ribosomal RNA (292 nucleotides) under Oryza sativa Japonica Group (Japanese rice). Lineage: Eukaryota; Viridiplantae; Streptophyta; Magnoliopsida; Poales; Poaceae. The record is from RNAcentral.
GGAUGCGAUCAUACCAGCACUAAAGCACCGGAUCCCAUCAGAACUCCGAAGUUAAGCGUGCUUGGGCGAGAGUAGUACUAGGAUGGGUCCUUUUUGUCUCUCUCUCCCCCCUUUUGACUCGCGCCGCUGCGUCCAUCGUGUUGUGUCGCCCCUUGGGCGGCGAAGCUGGGGAGAAUCGGAUGUAACAUUUUCUGUAGAUGUCCGUGGAUAUAUCAUUUGCCUGAUUCCGAGUCCGUAUGAGAAAGUUACGCCUAUUUUAAGAAAUGACACCCGAAUGACGCCAAAGCAUGUC